This 292-nucleotide ribosomal RNA is filed under the name uncultured bacterium. Its description in RNAcentral is "partial 16S ribosomal RNA". It matches the Rfam family "Bacterial small subunit ribosomal RNA", at positions 505 to 796 of the family's 1533-position model. The record is from RNAcentral.
GUGCCAGCAGCCGCGGUAAUACGUAGGGGGCAAGCGUUGUCCGGAUUUAUUGGGCGUAAAGAGCGUGUAGGCGGCCAGACAAGUCUGCUGUGAAAACUCGAGGCUCAACCUCGAGCUGUCGGCGGAAACUGUCUGGCUAGAGUCCGGAAGAGGAGAGUGGAAUUCCUGGUGUAGCGGUGAAAUGCGCAGAUAUCAGGAAGAACACCUAUGGCGAAGGCAGCUCUCUGGGACGGUACUGACGCUGAGACGCGAAAGCGUGGGGAGCGAACAGGAUUAGAUACCCGAGUAGUCC